RNAcentral lists this ribosomal RNA (466 nucleotides) under uncultured bacterium. RNAcentral describes it as "partial 16S ribosomal RNA". It matches the Rfam family "Bacterial small subunit ribosomal RNA", at positions 28 to 507 of the family's 1533-position model. The record is from RNAcentral.
GACGAACGCUGGCGGCGUGCUUAACACAUGCAAGUCGUGCGGUAAGGCCCUUUCGGGGGUACACGAGCGGCGAACGGGUGCGUAACACGUGAGCAACCUUCCCUUCCCUUUGGGAUAACUGCCGGAAACGGUGGCUAAUACCGGAUAUGACUUCCUCACGCAUGUGGGGUGGUGGAUAGCCUUCGGGUGUUAGGGGAUGGGCUCUCGGUCUAUCCGCUUGUUGGUGGGGUGAUGGCCUACGAAGGCUUCGACGGGUAGCCGGCCUGAGAGGGUGACCGGCCACAAUGGGACUGAGAGAGGGCCCAGAAUCCUACGGGAGGCAGCAGUGGGGAAUAUGGGAGAAUGGGCGAAAGCGUGAGACAGCAGCGCCGCGUGAGUGAUGACGGCCUUCGGGUGGUAAACCUCUUUCGCCGGCGACGAAGCGAGAGUGACGGUAGCAGGUAAAGAAGCACCGGCUAACUACGUG